UACCAAUCAACAAGGUUUGUUAGACUGACCUGAUUCUGUCAGGAUCCCGUUCAACACAAGAACGAAGGGUCGACUACGCAGCGAUAUACGGAGAAGAGGAAAACAGAGUGGUGUUUAACUACUCACUUCUGCUUGGCCAAUUCCUCUGGUCCAAUCAGUGCGCAGUUUGACGCUUAUUUUCGUUCCUCGUGUUGUCGGUGAACCAUCUGAAUCCCACUUCUGGCACCAAA
Molecule: long non-coding RNA, 230 nt
Organism: Amblyraja radiata (thorny skate)
Lineage: Eukaryota; Metazoa; Chordata; Chondrichthyes; Rajiformes; Rajidae
Exons: 3
Source: RefSeq, a predicted model, not a curated record